GGGGAUUCUUGUCUUUUUUAUUUAUUUAUUUUAGGUCUUUAGGAAUUUCUUUCUUUAGUAACUAGGAUUUAAUUUCUACAAAAUAAAACAUAGCAAGCUUGAAUAAAUGCUUCCUUUAGAAAGAAAAAGACUAAGUGAUAUGGUAAUGGGAAUGAACAUGUCUAGGAUUGGAUUAUAAGGAGAGACUUGGUAUUUAAGCAGUCUUAAUGACUCACCUUUCUUUCUUUUUAACCCUACCC
Molecule: long non-coding RNA, 239 nt
Filed under: Gossypium barbadense (sea-island cotton)
Lineage: Eukaryota; Viridiplantae; Streptophyta; Magnoliopsida; Malvales; Malvaceae
Description: long non-coding RNA (GBAR_LNC009019)
Source: RNAcentral